This 1210-nucleotide ribosomal RNA is filed under the name metagenome. Its description in RNAcentral is "bacterial SSU rRNA". It matches the Rfam family "Bacterial small subunit ribosomal RNA", at positions 295 to 1498 of the family's 1533-position model. The record is from RNAcentral.
AGAGGAUGACCAGCCACAUUGGGACUGAGAUACGGCCCAGACUCCUACGGGAGGCAGCAGUGGGGAAUCUUGGACAAUGGGGGAAACCCUGAUCCAGCGACACCGCGUGGGGGAUGAAGGCUUUCGGGUCGUAAACCCCUUUUCUGGGGGAAGAAUAAGGUCGACAGGAAAUGGUCAUCCGAUGACGGUACCCCAGGAAUAAGCAUCGGCUAACUCCGUGCCAGCAGCCGCGGUAAGACGGAGGAUGCGAGCGUUAUCCGGAAUUACUGGGCGUAAAGGGCGUCUAGGCGGUCCGAUAAGUCACUUGUGAAAUCCCACGGCUCAACCGUGGAAGGUCUCGUGAUACUGUCAGACUUGGGUGUGGGAGAGGAGAGUGGAACUCACAGAGUAGCGGUGGAAUGCGUAGAUACUGUGAGGUACCCCGAUGGCGAAGGCAACUCUCUGGCCUACUACCGACGCUGAAGCGCGAAAGCGUGGGGAGCAAAGGGGAUUAGAUACCCCCGUAGUCCACGCCCCAAACGAUGUUCACUUGGUGUCGGCCUCUUAUCGUGGGUCGGUGCCGGAGCUAACGCGUUAAGUGUACCGCCUGAGGAGUACGGCCGCAAGGCUAAAACUCAAGAGAAUUGACGGGCCCCCGCACAAGCGGUGGAGCACGUGGUUUAAUUCGAUGGUAAGCGAAGAACCUCACCCAGGCUUGACAUACUAGUGGUAGGAACCUGAAAGGGGGACGACCCUGCCUUCGGGUAGGGAGCUAGUACAGGUGAUGCAUGGCCGUCGUCAGCUCGUGUCGUGGGAUGUAGGGUUAAGUCCCGAAACGAGCGCAACCCUUGUCGUUAGUUGCCAGCGGGUAAUGCCGGGGACUCUAGCGAGACUGCUGGUGAAUAGCCGGAGGAAGGCGGGGAUGACGUCAAGUCAUCAUGUCCCUUACGCCUGGGGCGACACACAUGCUACAAUGGGAGGUACAAAGGGCUGCAAUACCGUAAGGUGGAGCCAAUCCCAAAAAACCUUCCUCAGUUCGGAUUGAGGUCUGCAACUCGACCUCAUGAAGCCGGAAUCGCUAGUAAUCGUAGGUCAGCCACACUACGGUGAAUAUGUACUCGGGGGUUGUACACACCGCCCGUCACACCAACCGAGUGGGGGGUACCUGAAGUCGCCUUUUUGAGGGCGCCGAAGGUAACCUUCGCGAGAGGGGUGAAGUCGUAGCAAGGUA